UACGUAGGGGGCAAGCGUUGUCCGGAAUCAUUGGGCGUAAAGAGCGUGUAGGCGGCCCGAUAAGUCCGCUGUGAAAGUCCAGGGCUCAACCCUGGAAUGCCGGUGGAUACUGUCGGGCUCGAAUCCGGAAGAGGUGAGUGGAAUUCCUGGUGUAGCGGUGAAAUGCGCAGAUAUCGGGAGGAACACCGAUGGCGAAGGCAGGUCUCUGGGCAUUAACUGACGCUGAGGAGCGAAAGCAUGGGGAGCGAACAGG
Molecule: ribosomal RNA, 253 nt
Filed under: uncultured bacterium
Lineage: Bacteria
Description: partial 16S ribosomal RNA
Rfam family: Bacterial small subunit ribosomal RNA
Source: RNAcentral